This 322-nucleotide ribosomal RNA is filed under the name uncultured eukaryote. RNAcentral's name for it is "partial 18S ribosomal RNA". It matches the Rfam family "Eukaryotic small subunit ribosomal RNA", at positions 1470 to 1796 of the family's 1831-position model. The record is from RNAcentral.
CCCUUAGAUGUUCUGGGCCGCACGCGUGCUACACUGAGUGGAUCAGCGGGUCAGGUUGCGCGAAAGUGUUUCCUAAUCUUGAAAUCCGCUCGUGAUGGGGAUUGACGGUUGCAAUUUUCCGUCAUGAACGAGGAAUACCUUGUAAGCGCGGGUCAUCAUCCCGCGCUGAAUACGUCCCUGCCCUUUGUACACACCGCCCGUCGCUCCUACCGAUUAAGUGGUCCGGUGAGGCUUUGGGAUCUGAGCGGAAAGAGCGUUUCGCUGUUUCUGCUCGGAAAACUCAGUCGAACCUUAUCAUUUAGAGGAAGGAGAAGUCGUAACA